RNAcentral lists this long non-coding RNA (1628 nucleotides) under Citrus sinensis (sweet orange). RNAcentral describes it as "long non-coding RNA (CSIN_LNC000004)". Lineage: Eukaryota; Viridiplantae; Streptophyta; Magnoliopsida; Sapindales; Rutaceae. The record is from RNAcentral.
GAUGACCUUGUUUCUCAAUUUGUUGGCUACCUGGCUCAACGCUUCUCCCUGAAAGAUCUUGGCUCUCUUUCUUAUUUUCUUGGCGUUGAGGUUGUUCCACAUCGGCGAGGCAUAUUGCUCUUUCAAAGAAGAUAUAUCCAAGACUUGCUAAAAAGAACUCAUAUAGUAGAUGCUACACCCGUCCUUACCCCAUUACCAACAAAUUCUUCCUCACUCACCAUCACCUCAGGCACUCCUCUUUCAGAUCCUUCUCAAUUUCGUGCUGUAGUUGGGAGCUUGCAAUAUCUCUCUCUCACUCGUCCCGAUAUCUCUUUUGCUGUCAAUAAGAUGGCUCAAUUUAUGCAUCAGCCUACUGAUGAGCAUUGGGUACUUGUUAAACGAAUUCUACGGUAUUUAUGUGGCACAUUGGAUAAAGGUCUUUUUCUCCAUCGUGAGUCUUCUUUAUCUCUUCAUGGGUUCUCUGAUGCUCUUCAUGCGUUCUCGGAUGCUGACUGGGCCGGCAAUAAAGAUGAUUACUCUUCCACUAGUGCAUACCUUGUCUAUCUUGGGCGGAAUCUUAUUUCUUGGAGUUCUAAGAAGCAACAAACUGUUGCUCGUUCUUCUACAGAAGCGGAAUAUCGUUCAGUUGCUGCUACUGCUGCUGAACUUCGGUGGGUAUGUUCACUGCUUGCUGAACUUGGUGUGACUUUGCAAUCUUCUCCAGUUGUCUAUUGUGAUAACAUUUGUGCUACUCAGUUAAGCUCCAAUCCUGUGUUUCAUUCUCGAAUGAAACAUGUAGUAGUGGAUUACCAUUUUAUCCGUGAACAGGUUCAAUCUGGUUUACUUCGUGUGGCUCAUGUUUCUUCUGCCGACCAACUUGCUGAUCUCCUCACCAAACCUUUGCCACGUUCUCAGUUCCUACUGCUAAGAGACAAGAUUGGCCUCUUUACCCGUGGCCUAUCUUGAGGGGGCAUAAAGAACAUACGUGUCAUUUGCAGUUUCAAUUACUUAAAGUUGUUGAGUCUUCGUUUAGAAUAGGACUUUAAUCUUCUUUUAUAAUAGAACUCCUUUUUGCAUACCUUGUCUAUCUUGGGCGGAAUCUUAUUUCUUGGAGUUCUAAGAAGCAACAAACUGUUGCUCGUUCUUCUACAGAAGCGGAAUAUCGUUCAGUUGCUGCUACUGCUGCUGAACUUCGGUGGGUAUGUUCACUGCUUGCUGAACUUGGUGUGACUUUGCAAUCUUCUCUAGUUGUCUAUUGUGAUAACAUUGGUGCUACUCAGUUAAGCUCCAAUCCUGUGUUUCAUUCUCGAAUGAAACAUGUAGUAGUGGAUUACCAUUUUAUCCGUGAACAGGUUCAAUCUGGUUUACUUCGUGUGGCUCAUGUUUCUUCUGCCGACCAACUUGCUGAUCUCCUCACCAAACCUUUGCCACGUUCUCAGUUCCUACUGCUAAGAGACAAGAUUGGCCUCUUUACCCGUGGCCUAUCUUGAGGGGGCAUAAAGAACAUACGUGUCAUUUGCAGUUUCAAUUACUUAAAGUUGUUGAGUCUUCGUUUAGAAUAGGACUUUAAUCUUCUUUUAUAAUAGAACUCCUUUUUUGAGUCAUCCUUCUUUUCCGAUACUUUUUGUUAUUCUUGUUGCAAAAGUUGU